AUGCUAUCUCAUUCAAUCUUCAAAACAGCUCUGAGAGCUACUCACAAGCUUAAAAGAAGAGAAUGUAAAUAUACACAGUCAGAGGAAGAAUGGUCAAGGAAAAGUAAAGAAAUUGUGAAACAAGGGCCAUUCACUUUGAAAUCAGAAUCUGAAACACUAAUACAUUAUUGGAGGAACUGUGAACUGAUCCAACCAUUUUGGAGAGCAAUCUGGAAUCAUUCCAAGAGAGUUAUAAAACUGUGUAUAUCUUUAGAUCCAAUAAUAUCACUUUUGAGUCUGUUUCCUAAGGUGAUCAGGGAAAAAGGAAAAGAACCUAAAUGCUCUAAAAUAUUUAUAGGAACUCUCCUUGUGGUAGCAAAGAACUGGAAAUUGAGGGGAUGUCCAUCAGUUGAGGAAUGACAGAACAAGUUGUGGCAUGAUUGUGGUGGAAUUCUUCUGUGCUGUAAGAAAUGAAGAGCUGGUUAAUUUAAAAAACCAUGGAAAGACCUAUAUGAAAUUAAUAAUUUGAAGAAAAUCUUGAGGAUGUCAACUUCCAACUUAUACAAAGUAUGUACAAUAUGUAUAUAUAUAUGUAAAUAUAUAUUUCUUGUAAAAUAAUGCCUUCUCUAGUGUGGAGAGGAGAGGGAGUGAGGCAGAUAUCUAGGAAUGUUAAGGUCACCAACAAACUAAUUAAUUUUUUAAAAAAGAAAUAAAGCAGAAUCUGAGAAAUGGAAUCUUUCUACA
This 723-nucleotide long non-coding RNA is filed under the name Monodelphis domestica (gray short-tailed opossum). RNAcentral describes it as "lncRNA (ENSMODG00000035536.2)". Lineage: Eukaryota; Metazoa; Chordata; Mammalia; Didelphimorphia; Didelphidae. The record is from RNAcentral.